GUGGGGAAUCUUAGACAAUGGGCGCAAGCCUGAUCUAGCCAUGCCGCGUGAGCGAUGAAGGCCUUAGGGUUGUAAAGCUCUUUCGCUGGGGAAGAUAAUGACUGUACCGGAAGAAUAAGCCCCGGCUAACUUCGUGCCAGCAGCCGCGGUAAUACGAAGGGGGCUAGCGUUGCUCGGAAUCACUGGGCGUAAAGGGCGCGUAGGCGGACUCUUAAGUCGGGGGUGAAAGCCCAGGGCUCAACCCUGGAAUUGCCUUCGAUACUGAGAGUCUUGAGUUCGGAAGAGGUUGGUGGAACUGCGAGUGUAGAGGUGAAAUUCGUAGAUAUUCGCAAGAACACCAGUGGCGAAGGCGGCCAACUGGUCCGAUACUGACGCUGAGGCGCGAAAGCGUGGGGAGCAAACAGGAUUAGAAACCCUGGUAGUCC
This 425-nucleotide ribosomal RNA is filed under the name uncultured bacterium. Its description in RNAcentral is "partial 16S ribosomal RNA". It matches the Rfam family "Bacterial small subunit ribosomal RNA", at positions 354 to 796 of the family's 1533-position model. The record is from RNAcentral.